RNAcentral lists this ribosomal RNA (460 nucleotides) under uncultured bacterium. RNAcentral's name for it is "partial 16S ribosomal RNA". It matches the Rfam family "Bacterial small subunit ribosomal RNA", at positions 338 to 795 of the family's 1533-position model. The record is from RNAcentral.
CCUACGGGAGGCAGCAGUGAGGAAUAUUGGUCAAUGGGCGCGAGCCUGAACCAGCCAAGUCGCGUGAAGGAUGAAUGCCCUACGGGUUGUAAACUUCUUUUAUCAGGGAGUAAAGUGAGGCACGUGUGCCUUUUUGUAUGUACUUUAUGAAUAAGGAUCGGCUAACUCCGUGCCAGCAGCCGCGGUAAUACGGAGGAUCCGGGCGUUAUCCGGAUUUAUUGGGUUUAAAGGGAGCGUAGAUGGGUUGUUAAGUCAGUUGUGAAAGUUUGAGGCUCAACCGUAAAAUUGCAAUUGAUACUGGCAGACUUGAGUACAGUUGAGGUAGGCGGAAUUCGUGGUGUAGCGGUGAAAUGCGUAGAUAUCACGAAGAACUCCGAUUGCGAAGGCAGCCUACUAAACUGCGACUGACAUUGAUGCUCGAAAGUGUGGGUAUCAAACAGGAUUAGAUACCCUGGUAGUC